GAAAGGCCAAUCAAACCGGGAGAUAGCUGGUUCUCCCCGAAAUCUAUUUAGGUAGAGCCUUAGAUGAAUACCUUCGGGGGUAGAGCACUGUUUCGGCUAGGGGGUCAUCCCGACUUACCAACCCGAUGCAAACUGCGAAUACCGAAGAGUAAUGUCUAGGAGACACACGGCGGGUGCUAACGUUCGUCGUGGAGAGGGAAACAACCCAGACCGCCAGCUAAGGUCCCAAAGUACUAGUUAAGUGGGAAACGAAGUGGGAAGGCUUAGACAGCUAGGAUGUUGGCUUAGAAGCAGCCAUCAUUUAAAGAAAGCGUAAUAGCUCACUAGUCGAGUCGGCCUGCGCGGAAGAUGUAACGGGGCUAAAACUAGUCACCGAAGCUGCGGCAUUCAGAUGACAGAUUUCAGAUGUCAGGAGACAGUAUGGCAAUCAAGUUUGAAGAUUUGAACGCAUUGGCAAAGAUGGCGUAAUGAAUACGAAGAAAUUGCGAAGAUGUUACAAGGUUUUGGUAAAACACUGAAACCUGACGUCUGAAAUCUGUCAUCUGAUUGGGUAGGGGAGCGUUGUGUAAGCGGAAGAAGGUGGUUCGAGAGGGCUGCUGGACGUAUCACAAGUGCGAAUGCUGACAUAAGUAACGAUAAAGGGGGUGAAAAACCCCCUCGCCGGAAGACCAAGGGUUCCUGUCCAACGUUAAUCGGGGCAGGGUGAGUCGGCCCCUAAGGCGAGGCUGAAGAGCGUAGUCGAUGGGAAACGGGUUAAUAUUCCCGUACUUGUGAUAAGAGCGAUGUGGGGACGGAGCAGGUUAGGUUAUCCGGGUGACGGAAGUCCCGGUCCAAGCGUGUAGGAUGGAUGAUUAGGCAAAUCCGGUCAUCUAAAUCAGAGGCGUGACGGGGAGACUCUACGGAGUCGAAGUAACUGAUACCACACUUCCAGGAAAAGCCGCUAAGCAUAUCUUAUCAUAAACCGUACUGAAAACCGACACAGGUGGUCAGGUAGAGAAUACUCAGGCGCUUGAGAGAACUCGGGUGAAGGAACUAGGCAAAAUAGCACCGUAACUUCGGGAGAAGGUGCGCUGACGGUAAUUGAAGUCCGUUGCGGAUGGAGGUGAAGUCAGUCGAAGUGACCAGCUGGCUGCAACUGUUUAUUAAAAACACAGCACUCUGCAAACACGAAAGUGGACGUAUAGGGUGUGACGCCUGCCCGGUGCUGGAAGGUUAAUUGAUGAUGUGAGAGCAUUUGAUCGAAGCCCCAGUAAACGGCGGCCGUAACUAUAACGGUCCUAAGGUAGCGAAAUUCCUUGUCGGGUAAGUUCCGACCUGCACGAAUGGCGUAAUGAUGGCCAGGCUGUCUCCACCCGAGACUCAGUGAAAUUGAAAUCGCCGUGAAGAUGCGGUGUACCCGCGGCUAGACGGAAAGACCCCGUGAACCUUUACUAUAGCUUGACACUGAACAUUGAAUUUUGAUGUGUAGGAUAGGUGGGAGACUGCGAAGUAUUAACGCCAGUUAAUAUGGAGUCGUUGUUGAAAUACCACCCUUUAAGGUUUGAUGUUCUAACACAGACUACGGAACGUGGUCGUGGACAGUGUCUGGUGGGUAGUUUGACUGGGGCGGUCUCCUCCCAAAGCGUAACGGAGGAGUACGAAGGUUUGCUAAUCACGGUCGGACAUCGUGAGGUUAGUACAAUGGUAUAAGCAAGCUUGACUGCGAGACGGACAGGUCGAGCAGGUGCGAAAGCAGGUCAUAGUGAUCCGGUGGUUCUGAAUGGAAGGGCCAUCGCUCAACGGAUAAAAGGUACUCCGGGGAUAACAGGCUGAUACCGCCCAAGAGUUCAUAUCGACGGCGGUGUUUGGCACCUCGAUGUCGGCUCAUCACAUCCUGGGGCUGAAGUAGGUCCCAAGGGUAUGGCUGUUCGCCAUUUAAAGUGGUACGCGAGCUGGGUUUAGAACGUCGUGAGACAGUUCGGUCCCUAUCUGCCGUGGGCGUUGGAAAAUUGAAAGGGGCUGCUCCUAGUACGAGAGGACCGGAGUGGACGCACCGCUGGUGUUCCCGUUGUUUCGCCAGAAGCAUUGCGGGGUAGCUAUGUGCGGGAGAGAUAAGUGCUGAAAGCAUCUAAGCACGAAACUUGCCUUGAGAUGAGUUUUCCCAGUCAAUAAGACUGUAAGGGUUGUUUAAGACUAAGACGUAGAUAGGCGGGGUGUGUAAGUGUAGUGAUAUAUUGAGCUAACCCGUACUAAUUGCCCGAGAGGCUUAACCA
Molecule: ribosomal RNA, 2252 nt
Filed under: Pasteurella testudinis DSM 23072
Lineage: Bacteria; Pseudomonadati; Pseudomonadota; Gammaproteobacteria; Pasteurellales; Pasteurellaceae
Description: bacterial LSU rRNA
Rfam family: Bacterial large subunit ribosomal RNA
Source: RNAcentral